Molecule: long non-coding RNA, 3335 nt
Filed under: Xyrichtys novacula (pearly razorfish)
Lineage: Eukaryota; Metazoa; Chordata; Actinopteri; Labriformes; Labridae
Source: RNAcentral
AGGAGAGGAGGAGAGAGGAGAGGAGAGAGGAGAGAGGAGAGGAGAGGAGGAGAGGAGAGGAGGAGAGAGGAGAGAGGAGAGAGGAGAGGAGAGGAGGAGAGAGGAGAGAGGAGAGGAGAGGAGGAGAGAGGAGAGGAGAGAGGAGAGGAGAGGAGGAGAGGGGAGAGGGGAGGAGGAGAGGAGGGACGAGAGAUGGCAAGAAGGUGUGGGGUGAUGGAGUGAACAGGGAGACUUUACAGAUUCACAAACACACACACAAACACACACACUCUCGCACACACACACACACACUCACACACACACACACACACACACAUAGAAGUUGAACUCUGACACCAACAGAAAAAUCUGAACUGGAAUCAAAUCGUCUCACAGGAUGUUUGUCAGUAACUGGAUCGAGAUGAAACUUAUUAUUUCACCUGAGAAACACUUCCACACACACACACACACACACACACACACACACACACACACACAGAGUUCCUGUGAAAACCACUCUGGGGGAUUCCACACACUCAUCUCUCUCUCUCUCCUGCCCACGGUGUAAAUAUUGAAGCUGCGUCUGUCGGUGCUCAGAGGGUUAAUGUUGGUGAGGGAGGGGGGGGCCCCUGUGAGCGGGCAGCGAGGGGUUAAAACGGGCUGGAAACUACACACACCUACAGGUCUGUUAUUAAACACACCAACUGUUCCUUUAGAGAGACAGAACGCCUUACCCAUCAGCCCCUGCUGCUCUCCUUACCCAUCGUCCUGCGUCCAGAUCGUACGAACACGUCUUUGUCUUUAACUCCCUUUUAGUUUAAAUAAAUUUACGUUUUUAAACAGUUUCAUGUCGUCAGGGUUCGACAGUUUCUCUGUGACUAAAAAUUGAUGUGUGUGAAAUAAAGUAAAAUGUAUUUAGGGGCACAUAAAAAUAUCAACAAACGUUUUUUUCCUGUAAAUACGGCGGUGAAGUUAGUUUUAGGUUGGAUAUAUUUUCCUGUAAAUACGGCGGUGAAGUUAGUUUCAGGUUGGAUAUAUUUUCCUGUAAAUACGGCGGUGAAGUUAGUUUCAGGUUGGAUAUAUUUUCCUGUAAAUACGGCGGUGAAGUUAGUUUUAGGUUGGAUAUAUUCUCCUGUAAAUACGGCGGUGAAGUUAGUUUCAGGUUGGAUAUAUUUUCCUGUAAAUACAGCGGUGAAGUUAGUUUUAGGUUGGAUAUAUUUUCCUGUAAAUACGGCGGUGAAGUUAGUUUUAGGUUGGAUAUAUUUUCCUGUAAAUACGGCGGUGAAGUUAGUUUUAGGUUGGAUAUAUUUUCCUGUAAAUACGGCGGUGAAGUUAGUUUUAGGUUGCAUAUAUUUUCUUGUAAAUACGGCGGUGAAGUUAGUUUUAGGUUGGAUAUAUUUUCCUGUAAAUACGGCGGUGAAGUUAGUUUUAGGUUGGAUAUAUUUUCCUGUAAAUACGGCGGUGAAGUUAGUUUUACAUUGGAUAUAUUUCCUGUAAAUACGGCGGUGAAGUUAGUUUCAGGUUGGAUAUAUUUUCCUGUAAAUACGGCGGUGAAGUUAGUUUUAGGUUGGAUAUAGUUCCCUGUAAAUACGGCGGUGAAGUUAGUUUCAGGUUGGAUAUAUUUCCCUGUAAAUAUGGCGGUGAAGUUAGUUUUAGGUUGGAUAUAUUUUCCUGUAAAUACGGCGGUGAAGUUAGUUUUAGGUUGGAUAUAUUUCCCUGUAAAUACGGCGGUGAAGUUAGUUUUAGGUUGGAUAUAUUUCCCUGUAAAUACGGCGGUGAAGUUAGUUUCAGGUUGGAUAUCUGACGGACAUUCUCUGAGGAUCUACCGUUGUCUUCUCACUCUCCAUAACCGGGAAUAACAACAGCAGCGCAGUUAAAUCUACUCGACACCCUCACUGUCAACGUCGGUGUUGAAUAAGGGACCGUCAAUAAAUUACUGGUUGAUGUUCUCAGAAAAGGCUGUUUUCCUUUAAUAGCUUCACUGUCAUAUGAACAAAAGACCUAAAAUUGAUUUCUAAUAAUAGUACUAAGGUCGAUCAAUAAGACAAACAUUAUUGAUCAGUUUUCCCCUGAAGUUUUUUUGUGCUCCUGAUGACCAAAGUUCAUGUCGAACCCUGGUUAGUGUGCGAUUCAUUCUUCAGAUCGAGUUUAAUUAAUUUUUUUAUUCGGUUAAAUUAACAGAAUUAUUUUAAAACUUCUGAACAUGUUUCAUCAAAAUGACUAAAGAGAGUCGAUGUGUCUGUAAAUCUGCAGAUAUUAUUAUUAUAUCUGAGCUCUUCUUCUCACUAACUAAUAACUGUCAGAACAGGUUUGAUCGUUUAUUAGAAAAUCUGAUAAUAAUAAUAUUAAUAAUAAUAAUAAUAACCAGAAUUAUAAUAGUGUAUAAAAGAUAAAAAUACACAUGAAUAAGAAGAAGUGACGGUUAUUUAGGGAGAGAGAAGGUGAGGGAGGGCUGGGGGGGAGAGAGAGUGGGGGGGUAGCAGGGAUACGGCUCAACUUACCCCCCCAUACCCGGGGUAAGUUGACCAUAGGAGACCCUGUUUCUGUCCUGUUCUAUUCUGAAGAUGACGGUUCAGUUUUUACUCAGUCUGAUGGUUCAGAGCGAAAAACAACAAACUGAGAAAUCUGAGGAGAGUUAGAGACACACACACACACACAAACACACAGUUAGAGACACACACACUGACACACACGAGUUAGAGACACACACACACAGACACACACACACACACACACACACACACACACAGUUAGAGACACACAGACACACACACUGACACACACACAGUUAGACACACACACACACACACACACACACAGUUAGAGACACACAGACACACACACUGACACACACACAGUUAGACACACACACACACACACACACACACACACACACAGUUAGAGACACACAGACACACACACUGACACACACACACAGUUAGACACACACAGACACACACACACACUGACAUGGAUCAUCCUAACUUUAUUAACUUCAUUAAAGAAACAUUUGGGUCUCCAGAACUUUCCUCUCAGGUCUGAAGGUUCUGAUGGUUCUGGUGGUUUUGAAGGUUCUGGUGGUUCUGAAGGUUCUGGUGGUUCUGCUCUGAACUUUAGUCUCUUUGCCCCCCCCUCGUUAGCCUCGUUAGCCUCGUUAGCUCCGCCGGUUGCUAACGGCUAACUAGCUCUCCCUCUGCCGGUAAACCCUCCCCCUUCCCUCUCUCAGCCGCUCUCAGCCCGCGGGAGGACCGGCGCACAGACCCCGCCACAGUUUCCAGCUGUUCCCGGUCAGGUGUGUCCUCUGUGGGGGACAAACAGCGGGCCGAGGUCCCGCAAUAAGACGAUAAGAGGAAAGU